This 820-nucleotide ribosomal RNA is filed under the name Delfinachytrium mesopotamicum. RNAcentral's name for it is "eukaryotic LSU rRNA". It matches the Rfam family "Eukaryotic large subunit ribosomal RNA", at positions 107 to 858 of the family's 3401-position model. Lineage: Eukaryota; Fungi; Chytridiomycota; Chytridiomycetes; Chytridiales. The record is from RNAcentral.
GCUCAAUUUUGAAAUCUCUCAGGUUCCCUGAGCGAAUUGUAGUUUCUAGAAACGUUUUCGGGGGCAGCCCGGGUAAAAGUCCGUUGGAACGCGGCAUCAUGGAGGGUGAGAAUCCCGUAUUUGAUCCGGUGUCUGCUCCUAUGUGAUACGUUUUCAAAGAGUCGGAUAGUUUGGGAUUGCUGUCCAAAAUGGGUGGUAAAUACCAUCUAAAGCUAAAUAUUGGCGAGAGACCGAUAGCGAACAAGUACCGUGAGGGAAAGAUGAAAAGAACUUUGAAAAGAGAGUUAAACAGUACGUGAAAUUGUCAAAAGGGAAACGCUUGAAACCAGUAUUGCGGUGCGCAAAUCAGUCGUUCACUAGAACGGUGCACUUUGCGUAUUGCGGGUCAGCAUCAGUUUCGUUCGGAGUAAAAAGCUAGAGGAAGGUAGCUCUUUUUUGAGUGUUAUAGCCUCUGGUCAUGCUUUGGACGGGACUGAGGUCUGCAGCCUUGCUUUUGGGACGUCGGCAGCCCUUUGAUAUCUGGCUGUAAACUGCUUGCAGAUUACGGCUCGGUUAAGAUGGCCCUGUCGGCUUACACAACUAGGCUUAGGAUGCUGACGAAAUGGUUUUAAACGACCCGUCUUGAAACACGGACCAAGGAGUCCAACAAUCCUGCGAGUGUUUGGGUGGCAAACCCGAGCGCGUAAUGAAAGUGAAUGUAGGAGGGACCCGUAAGGUGCACCUUCGACCGGUCUGGAUUUUUUUGAAAGAUCUGAGUAAGAGCAUGAUUGUUGGGACCCGAAAGAUGGUGAACUAUGCCUGAAUAGGGUGAAGCCAGAGG